Molecule: microRNA, 17 nt
Filed under: Eptesicus fuscus (big brown bat)
Lineage: Eukaryota; Metazoa; Chordata; Mammalia; Chiroptera; Vespertilionidae
Description: efu-miR-9306
Source: miRBase by way of RNAcentral
UCUCCUUUUCCAUCUCC